UACACUCCUACGGGAGGCAGCAGUGGGGAAUUUUGGACAAUGGGCGAAAGCCUGAUCCAGCAAUGCCGCGUGAGUGAAGAAGGCCUUCGGGUUGUAAAGCUCUUUUGUCAGGGAAGAAACGGUGAGAGCUAAUAUCUUUUGCUAAUGACGGUACCUGAAGAAUAAGCACCGGCUAACUACGUGCCAGCAGCCGCGGUAAUACGUAGGGUGCAAGCGUUAAUCGGAAUUACUGGGCGUAAAGCGUGCGCAGGCGGUUUUGUAAGUCUGAUGUGAAAUCCCCGGGCUCAACCUGGGAAUUGCAUUGGAGACUGCAAGGCUAGAAUCUGGCAGAGGGGGGUAGAAUUCCACGUGUAGCAGUGAAAUGCGUAGAUAUGUGGAGGAACACCGAUGGCGAAGGCAGCCCCCUGGGUCAAGAUUGACGCUCAUGCACGAAAGCGUGGGGAGCAAACAGGAUUAGAUACCCGUGUAGUCCCAUGAU
RNAcentral lists this ribosomal RNA (478 nucleotides) under uncultured organism. Its description in RNAcentral is "partial 16S ribosomal RNA". It matches the Rfam family "Bacterial small subunit ribosomal RNA", at positions 332 to 801 of the family's 1533-position model. The record is from RNAcentral.